AUUGAACGCUGGCGGCAGGCCUAACACAUGCAAGUCGAGCGGACGAAGGGAGCUUGCUCCUGGAUUCAGCGGCGGACGGGUGAGUAAUGCCUAGGAAUCUGCCUGGUAGUGGGGGAUAACGUCCGGAAACGGGCGCUAAUACCGCAUACGUCCUGAGGGAGAAAGUGGGGGAUCUUCGGACCUCACGCUAUCAGAUGAGCCUAGGUCGGAUUAGCUAGUUGGUGGGGUAAAGGCCUACCAAGGCGACGAUCCGUAACUGGUCUGAGAGGAUGAUCAGUCACACUGGAACUGAGACACGGUCCAGACUCCUACGGGAGGCAGCAGUGGGGAAUAUUCGACAAUGGGCGAAAGCCUGAUCCAGCCACGCCGCGUGUGUGAAGAAGGUCUUCGGAUUGUAAAGCACUUUAAGUUGGGAGGAAGGGCAGUAAGUUAAUACCUUGCUGUUUUGACGUUACCAACAGAAUAAGCACCGGCUAACUUCGUG
This 484-nucleotide ribosomal RNA is filed under the name uncultured bacterium. RNAcentral describes it as "partial 16S ribosomal RNA". It matches the Rfam family "Bacterial small subunit ribosomal RNA", at positions 30 to 507 of the family's 1533-position model. The record is from RNAcentral.